RNAcentral lists this transfer RNA (76 nucleotides) under Prevotellaceae bacterium. RNAcentral's name for it is "tRNA-Lys". It matches the Rfam family "tRNA". From Rfam's summary of the family: Transfer RNA (tRNA) molecules are approximately 80 nucleotides in length. Their secondary structure includes four short double-helical elements and three loops (D, anti-codon, and T loops). Further hydrogen bonds mediate the characteristic L-shaped molecular structure. tRNAs have two regions of fundamental functional importance: the anti-codon, which is responsible for specific mRNA codon recognition, and the 3' end, to which the tRNAs corresponding amino acid is attached (by aminoacyl-tRNA synthetases). tRNAs cope with the degeneracy of the genetic code in two manners: having more than one tRNA (with a specific anti-codon) for a particular amino acid; and 'wobble' base-pairing, i.e. permitting non-standard base-pairing at the 3rd anti-codon position. The record is from RNAcentral. Lineage: Bacteria; Pseudomonadati; Bacteroidota; Bacteroidia; Bacteroidales; Prevotellaceae. RNAcentral also lists the same sequence under 1 other name.
GGGCAAUUAGCUCAGUCGGUAGAGCAUCUGACUUUUAAUCAGGUGGUCGCAGGUUCGAAUCCUGCAUUGCCCACCA